GAUGAACGCUAGCGGCAGGCUUAAUACAUGCAAGUCAAGGGGGUAGCAAUACAACCGGCGCACGGGUGAGUAACGCGUACGCAACAUACCAUAUACUGGGGUAUAGCUUCGGGAAACUGAAGGUAAUCCCCCACUAAUAUUGCGGGAAGGGCAUCUUUCUUGCAAUUAAAGUUUACGUACGGUAUAUGAUUGGUGUGCGUUUGUAUUAGUCUAGUUGGUAGGGUAACGGCCUACCAAGGCGACGAUCAAUAGCUGGCGUGAGAGCGCGACCAGCCACACUGGAACUGAGACACGGUCCAGACUCCUACGGGAGGCAGCAGUAGGGAAUAUUGGACAAUGGGCGAAAGCCUGAUCCAGCCAUGCCGCGUGAUAGAUGAAGGCCCUCUGGGUUGUAAAUAUCUUUUAUCUGGGAAGAAACUACCUCUAUUCUUAGAGGCCUGACGGUACCAGAGGAAUAAGCACCGGCUAACUCCGUGCCAGCAGCCGCGGUAAAGUC
RNAcentral lists this ribosomal RNA (496 nucleotides) under uncultured bacterium. Its description in RNAcentral is "bacterial SSU rRNA". It matches the Rfam family "Bacterial small subunit ribosomal RNA", at positions 28 to 526 of the family's 1533-position model. The record is from RNAcentral.